This 105-nucleotide microRNA precursor is filed under the name Canis lupus dingo (dingo). RNAcentral describes it as "mir-8834 microRNA precursor family". It matches the Rfam family "mir-8834 microRNA precursor family". The record is from Rfam by way of RNAcentral. Lineage: Eukaryota; Metazoa; Chordata; Mammalia; Carnivora; Canidae.
AGGAGGCACAACCGCAGUGGCGGGGCCAGCUCUGCAGCCCUGGCUUCAGCCCCCGCACUAGCUCCAGAGCUCUCCGUCUGCAGGGCCUGGAGGCUCCGGGCGGGG